This is a long non-coding RNA of Pezoporus flaviventris, 420 nucleotides long. RefSeq lists it as uncharacterized. The transcript has 3 exons. Lineage: Eukaryota; Metazoa; Chordata; Aves; Psittaciformes; Psittacidae. The record is from RefSeq and is a predicted model, not a curated record.
CAGGAUGUGGAUCAGUGUCUUACUGUCAAGUUCUGAGAAGGUGUUAUGCCUGACUCCAUGGUGGCUCAGCAAAGGCUUCCCUGGCAGGUAACUUUUAAGCAUGUAUACAGCAGGUUGGUUGUUCUCAAGCAGCUUUCGAACUGCCAGGGAUGUGGUAUACAGCUGUGAAGGCAGAACAUCCAUACUCCCAGGAAUUUUCAUGUUACUUAACAGAAAUGGAUUAUUUAAUCAGCGAAACAUUCCUGAGAACUAGCUUGGAAUUACUGCCCUCAUUUUACAAGAGCAAACAACACAGAGGGAUCACAGGACAGAUUCUGUGAGAUACUUGGAUGCUGAGCAAGGUUUUCCAGGGCAUGAAGAUAUUUAAUUCUCACUGAAAGCAAUUAAAAGACUGGAAAUGGUAAAGCAGUAUUUCAGUGU